Molecule: long non-coding RNA, 976 nt
Filed under: Theobroma cacao (cacao)
Lineage: Eukaryota; Viridiplantae; Streptophyta; Magnoliopsida; Malvales; Malvaceae
Description: long non-coding RNA (TCAC_LNC003776)
Source: RNAcentral
GACGAACAAGCCCUAGGUGGGAAAAAUCAAAGAGAAAGUGUUGGAAUUCAAGGAAACAAGCUAGGUAAGUUAAAAUUUCUUUAAUUCUCCUUGAUACCUAGCUUACCCAUGCUUUUGUUCUUGAAUUCCAUGGUUGAAUAUUGAGUUAUCAUGAUGAAUUCAAUUCUGAAAAAUGGGUAUGGAAGAGGAAUUAUUGUUGGAAUAAUUUGAUUUCAGACUAUGUUAAUGUUUAGGGAUAGUUAAGCAUGGUUAUGAAUAAAAACACAAAAGAAAUAUUCAAUUUCUCUAUGGUUCCUUGUUGGUCGAACCAUGAGGGCUGAAUAUCAAUGGGGGAUUGUUUUUAUUUCAAGGAAAAUGGCUUGGAAAAUGAUGAAUUAAGGUGAAAUGGUUAUAUAGAAAAAUUUUUGGUGCUAGUGCACCAAAUGACCGAAUUUUUCUAUUAGGAACUGUAAGGGUUCUAAUACUGAAUUUGGCUUUAUUUAAAUGGUAUGUGGUAAAUUAAGGUAUUAGAGGAGAAAUGGAUUAAUUUGGAGUGAAAUUGGACGCAUUGGCCAAUUUAUCGGAUGAAAAAUCGACUUAGGUCACUACCGGGUCUAAUGGCUACCCGCGCAUUUUUCAUUUCAUAUCAUAUAUAUAUAUCGAGCCUGAAAUAGCUUAUGAUUGUUAGACACAAUUUAAUUGGAAUAUGUGUCAUGGAUUAUGGCUAGGUGGUGAGCCAUUGGAUGCGGGUAAAUGACUAUACCCGCGAACUGAAAAUAGGAGUAUUUCUACUCCUAAUACCGGUGAGUGGACUUGCAUUUCAAACUUGUUUUGGGAAAUAUGAAAGAUUCUAUCCAACUUGUCUUAGAAAAUGGACCUUGGGAACAAGCUUUUAGUAAAAUAAUUUUAUAUUGUGAAAAUGUGCUAUACAAUGGUUUAUGUGUUAUCACAAUAUGAUAAAAUGCAUGAUAUGCAUUGGAUGCUUCUUUGCAUGUUG